GAUGAACGCUGGCGGCGUGCCUAAUACAUGCAAGUCGAGCGAACAGACGAGGAGCUUGCUCCUCUGACGUUAGCGGCGGACGGGUGAGUAACACGUGGAUAACCUACCUAUAAUACUGGGAUAACUUCGUGAAACCGGAUCUAAUACCGGAUAAUAUAUUGAACCGCAUGGUUCAAUAGUUAAAGACGGUUUUGCUGUCACUUAUAGAUGGAUCCGCGCCGCAUUAGCUAGUUGGUAAGGUAACGGCUUACCAAGGCGACGAUGCGUAGCCGACCUGAGAGGGUGAUCGGCCACACUGGAACUGAGACACGGUCCAGACUCCUACGGGAGGCAGCAGUAGGGAAUCUUCCGCAAUGGGCGAAAGCCUGACGGAGCAACGCCGCGUGAGUGAUGAAGGUCUUCGGAUCGUAAAACUCUGUUAUUAGGGAAGAACAAAUGUGUAAGUAACUAUGCACGUCUUGACGGUACCUAAUCAGAAAGCCACGGCUAACUACGUG
RNAcentral lists this ribosomal RNA (497 nucleotides) under uncultured bacterium. RNAcentral describes it as "partial 16S ribosomal RNA". It matches the Rfam family "Bacterial small subunit ribosomal RNA", at positions 28 to 507 of the family's 1533-position model. The record is from RNAcentral.